UCUUCACAAUGGACGAAAGUCUGAUGGAGCAACGCCGCGUGAGUGAAGAAGGUUUUCGGAUCGUAAAACUCUGUUGUUGGAGAAGAAUGUAUCUGAUAGUAACUGAUCAGGUAGUGACGGUAUCCAACCAGAAAGCCACGGCUAACUACGUGCCAGCAGCCGCGGUAAUACGUAGGUGGCAAGCGUUGUCCGGAUUUAUUGGGCGUAAAGCGAGCGCAGGCGGUUUCUUAAGUCUGAUGUGAAAGCCUUCGGCUCAACCGAAGAAGUGCAUCGGAAACUGGGAAACUUGAGUGCAGAAGAGGACAGUGGAACUCCAUGUGUAGCGGUGAAAUGCGUAGAUAUAUGGAAGAACACCAGUGGCGAAGGCGGCUGUCUGGUCUGUAACUGACGCUGAGGCUCGAAAGCAUGGGUAGCAAACAGGAUUAGAUACCCUGGUAGUCCAUGCCGUAAACGAUGAGUGCUAGGUGUUGGAGGGUUUCCGCCCUUCAGUGCCGCAGCUAACGCAUUAAGCACUCCGCCUGGGGAGUACGACCGCAAGGUUGAAACUCAAAGGAAUUGACGGGGCCC
RNAcentral lists this ribosomal RNA (567 nucleotides) under Lactobacillus sp. RNAcentral describes it as "bacterial SSU rRNA". It matches the Rfam family "Bacterial small subunit ribosomal RNA", at positions 363 to 921 of the family's 1533-position model. The record is from RNAcentral. Lineage: Bacteria; Bacillati; Bacillota; Bacilli; Lactobacillales; Lactobacillaceae.